Long non-coding RNA from Oncorhynchus tshawytscha (Chinook salmon), 968 nucleotides. NCBI's taxonomy places the organism in Eukaryota, Metazoa, Chordata, Actinopteri, Salmoniformes, Salmonidae. The record is from Ensembl.
GGGUGGGUUUGACGUCACUGCACAACUAACUAGUACCUAUAUCUAUAUUAUACUGUGUAUAUCUACUGAUGUAUGUGGCCUGUUGGUGUACUGUACCUGUAUAUAUAAGUGGUCCCCCCCCGUAUACCUCUGGUCUAAAGUAGUGUACUACAGGGGGCCAUUUAGUGGUGCGACAGGUACCUGUAUAUAUCAGGGGCCCCUCGUGGUCCCCCCCUCCCCCGUAUACCUCUGGUCUAAAGUAGUGGACUAUAGAGGGUGUAGUGUACCUCUGGUCUAAAGUAGUGCACUACAGGGGGCCAUUUAGUGGGGCGGCAGGUAGCCUAGUGGUUAGAGCGUUGGACUAGUAACCGAAAGGUUGCUGGAUGGAAUCCCCGAGCUGACAAGGUUAACAGUUAACCCACUGUUUCCCGGUAGGCAGUUAACCCACUGUUUCCCGGUAGGCAGUUAACCCACUGUUUCCCGGUAGGCAGUUAACCCACUGUUCCCCGGUAGGCAGUUAACCCACUGUUCCCCGGUAGGCAGUUAACCCACUGUUUCCCGGUAGGCAGUUAACCCACUGUUUCCCGGUAGGCCGUUAACCCACUGUUUCCCUGUAGGCAGUUAACCCACUGUUCCCCGGUAGGCAGUUAACCCACUGUUCCCCGGUAGGCAGUUAACCCACUGUUUUCCGGUAGGCAGUUAACCCAUUGUUUCCCGGUAGGCAGUUAACCCACUGUUUCCCGGUAGGCCGUCAUUGCAAAUAAGAAUUUGUUCUUAAACUGACUAGUUAAAUAAAGGUUAGAAUAAAAAUACAUACAUUUCAGACUCACUUUAUAUGGUUUCUACUGGUUUAUACCAGUCUUCCAGUCAGAUAACUGUGUUCUAUUGGUGCUCUAGUCUUUUUUAAACCCCGCCCCCUUUUCCAAAUUUAGGGUGUGGUUACAAUGUGGGCGACUCUUCACCCCGUCUCGCUGUAACCAAUAGCGCGC